AUUGAACGCUGGCGGCAUGCCUUACACAUGCAAGUCGAACGGCAGCACGGGAGCAAUCCUGGUGGCGAGUGGCGAACGGGUGAGUAAUAUAUCGAAACGUGCCCAGUCGUGGGGGAUAACGCAGCGAAAGCUGUGCUAAUACCGCAUACGAUCUAAGGAUGAAAGCGGGGGAUCGCAAGACCUCGCGCGAUUGGAGCGGCCGAUAUCAGAUUAGCUAGUUGGUGGGGUAAAGGCCCACCAAGGCGACGAUCUGUAGCUGGUCUGAGAGGACGACCAGCCACACUGGAACGGGGACACGGUCCGGACUCCUACGGGAGGCAGCAGCGGGGAAUUUUGGACAAUGGGCGCAAGCCUGAUCCAGCAAUGCCGCGUGCAGGAUGAAGGCCUUCGGGUUGUAAACUGCUUUUGUACGGAACGAAACGGCCCUUUCUAAUACAGGGGGCUAAUGACGGCACCGUAAGAAUAAGCACCGGCUAACUACGUGCCAGCCGCCGCGGUAA
RNAcentral lists this ribosomal RNA (500 nucleotides) under uncultured bacterium. RNAcentral describes it as "partial 16S ribosomal RNA". It matches the Rfam family "Bacterial small subunit ribosomal RNA", at positions 29 to 523 of the family's 1533-position model. The record is from RNAcentral.